CUACACCCUGCCACGCGUCGAAGCAAGCGAUAUUCACGAUGUAGAAUUUCCGGACCCACUUCUGGGCGCCCGGAACAUAGGAUCCGAAUUGGCUUCCAGUUUCAGCUAAAUUCAACACUCAGUUCUGGGCGACCUAAACUAUGUUCUGAGCGCCCGAAUCUGGCAAAACUCCAGUUUUGCCUAUUUGAGUGCGCCGAGUCCAAUUCUGCAUCCAAUUCGUGCAGAAUUUACUCCGACUCAGUCCGACACUCUCCAGAGAUGUCGACCAGUCACUAAUACUGAAGCCAAUCCUAUCCAAAACUCAGGAACACUACAUUAAAUCUAACAAAUUGAAAUGUUGAAUAAUGAAAUCAAAAUUUUUGAAAUGUUGGAUGGUCGAAUCAAAAUAGACUAUAGUUCGGCUAAGUUCUAUAUAUGCAUUUCUUUUUAAAAGAUUGGAUAACACUGCUAGUAUGUAUGGAAAAUAUUAGGUAUACAUUAAAAAAAAAAAAAAAUGUACAUUUUACACCCUCCAUCAUAGUUUCAGAAACUUAGUAUUUAAAAAAGAAUAAAAUUUGAUCUUUCAAAAGAAAGAUGUAAGAUGUAUAAAUCACUUUGAACUAAGCCCCUCGGAUUUCGUGUUUUUCUUUUUUUGUGGGACAAAGCCAUGUCAUAUUACAACAUAAUUUUGAGAUUACGAAUUUCCUUUUAUAAUUUUAAUUAUAUUUUUUUUUUAAAUUUAUAAAUUUAUUCGUGUGGGUUGACUGGUUGAGUACCGAUAUAUUGUUAACUUUUUACCGUUAUAAAUGUUAUGCCAUUAUAAAUAAUAUUUUUUCUAAAAUAUUUUUUUAUCGAAUAUAAUUUAGAAAGGAAACCAUUGAACCUUAUCUCUUUUGCAAAUAAGGGGACGUUUGGUUUGAUGAAUCUCUAGAUCCAAUGUAACUCCAGUGUAGUGGUGUUUGAGUUACCCUGAAGUGUAGUUAUUUUUUUGUUGUUUGUUUUGAUGUAACUCAAACUUCUGAAAGUUAAGUUCACCAACUUCUUUUGUUUGUUUUGAUGCAACUUGAUGUUAGUGUAACUAAUUUUUAGAGUUCCAUUGUUUGUUUUGACGUAAGUAGAUAGAUCCCACUACCUUCUCAAAUAUAGUGGUGAGCUUACCCCACAAAAUCCAAACCUAUUGAAUAAUUAAAUCUCCCAUUACUGUUUUUAUUUUUUAUUUUUUUACUACCAUUAUUUAUUGUUUCAUUACUUUAAAUUUAAUUUAAUCACUUUAUUCAAGAUAAUUUUUUUUUGGUGAAAUUUUGAUGAUUUUAGCAUUUAGUAACAAAAUUUUGAGCAGUUUAAACAACAUGUGAUCUAAAGGAUAUAUAUUGGAUGUUAAACAAAACAAAAUUGUAUUUAUAUUUGUUUAACAAAAUAAAACAAAAUUACAUAUCUUAGAUUACAUAUAGUUGGAUAAGAACAAUAUCAAACAAAAUAGAAACAACUCCAAACAUAUGAAACAUCCAAUUUUUAACAAUCAUCAUUCAUUAGAAGUUAAAGCAUAUUAAUAGCAGUAGUCAAGUACAUACUUUAGUUUACUUUAAAGCUAACAUAUCUAUAUAAGGCUUAUCUUUUUUUCUACAGCAAAAUGUCAUCAUACUAGUAAUACUGUGUCCACCAAAAUAUAGCCAAAAAGUUAUCUAUCUAUCAAAAUAUGUAAGAAAGUUAGUUUAAACAACUAAAGAUAAUCUGUAAAUCUUGAAAAAUUAUCUGCCACAAAACGAUCAAGCCAUGAACGACGCGACUCAGUUGGCUUUGACAUAAAUAACCUUCCUUGCUUUUCAUCGUCAUAAAGAAAAGAGUAAGCUGCAUCAUAAACCUCACUUGAGUAAUCUCCAGCUUCGACAAGCUUAGGCCACAAAUUGUCACUCCAGUGGGCAGUAGCACUUGUUUUGAUAGCUACAGCAACCUCUUUUACAGUUGCUAUAAGAUCGUCGAAAUGCUCAUCAUUGGCCUCACGAGGCCUUUUUCCACGACUUUUCCCCGAAGAAGGUAUAGCAUCGUUAUUAUUUGUUGGGGUAAAAGCAUCCCCAUCUUGCCCCAAGCCUCUCCCUUCCAUACCAUCGUCAUCUGGUGUCAUUUCAUUCCUUGCUUCACUGUUAACUCCAUCAGCAGGAUCAUUAAUAUAGUUGUCAUAAAUAGUUGAGCAGAAUUGUCCUGUGGCUUGAUCAUCACCACAAAUGAUCUUUAAAGCAUCAUAAUGUUUAAUUGGUUUGUUCAGCACAUCGGCUGCUUUUGGAUGCGCCUACAUUAUAAAUGGAGAGAAAUUUACAUAUAGAUAAUGAAUUCUAAACAAAUAAUAUUUAAUAAUAGUUUUAAAACAUGUUACCUCCACAUAGGUAGCAUAUGUUGGACCCUCCAAUAUGAUCAUCUUGAGCUCCUCAUUCCACCCAGCUCCACUAAUCUCUUUGCACUUCUUAAUUUCUGCAUAUUUGGCUCGGAGGGUUCUCAUAUGGUUUUCUACAUUCUCAGCAUCAAAAGUAGUGUUGAAUUUUGCAUUAACUGUUGAAGCCGCAGCGACAUAAGCCGUUUUCUUGAAACCUUUGUCUACUUUCAAGCCUGACUUGGCUUGUUCCACUAGAAAUGGAAUAAGAAAGUCAUCUAUGACGGUACUUCAUCUUUUAUUUGGUGUACCUUUUUUACUUAAACUUGUGCUCUUUCUUUUGGAACUUUCUUGCUUUUUAGAAGCUUCCUUGUGGGGUGCUGAUGGAGGAACCAUGGACAUCUCUACCUCUUGUGUAUUAAUAGAUUGUGACAUCUAAAUACGUAGAACACAGAUUGGACACAUACAAUAAAAUAGAAGUCAAAUAUAUAUAUAAAGCAAACUUGUCUUUAUUUAAUACAAAAUAAGUUACAUUCACAUAUAGAAACAAAAUAGAUUCUACAUUUGCAUUUAGCACAAACUUGUCCUUCUGUUGCAUAAAUCCAGUUGAUAAGGCUAGGAAAAAAAUACAGAAAACAUAAGCAAAAAAAAAAAAAGAGUAUAAAACAAAACAAAACAUUUCCUAGAUUGAAUGACGAGUGCGCCGACUAUAGUCCUGCCACAUGUCCUCUGCAAUGUUAUCACGCAGCUCUACCCAUUGUCGACUCUCCUCACGAUGCUCUCUUUGUGAUCUUGUUUGUGAAUAGUAAUUAACAUCAUCCUCACACAUGUUACUUUCGUCAUUGAGAAAUGGGUCAUGAGGGUCUACAGUGAGGAUGUAAUUGUGUAAUACACAACAACUCAAAACUAUUUCUACCUGUGUACGAAAAGGAAAGAAAGGUUUCGAGGUCAAGAUUUUAAAUCGAUUUUUGAGGAUUCCAAAUGAUCUCUCAACCUUGGAUCUUAAUAAUGCAUGACGUAGAUUGAACAACUCCUCCUUAUUUUGUGGAGUACGACCUUCAUGCUCCUUUAAAUGAUAUCGAACUGAACGAUAUGGGGCUAAAAAUCCAUGCAUAGUUGUCUAUCCAGCAUCAACCAAAUAAUAUUUUCCUGCGAUUAGUCAAUAUAUAGUUUGACAUAUCUAUAUAUUUAGAUCAAUAAGAAAGAAAAAAAAAAUAGCUAAAUUAAUUAGUCUUUUAUUUCAUAAUAUAUAGACUAUAUAUGUAUCACCUUCUAUAACCCGUAAUCCAGAUGGGGGAGGUAACGAAAGUGCAUGUUUAAGUACUGUGAAAUCAUUUGCAGAUCCCUCCCAACCAGCUGAAACAUAAGUGAAUCGACAAUCCGGUUUGACAGCCGCCAUGACAUUUUGUGUUAAACCUUUCCUGCCACGAAAUCGAGCAGCUAUUCUAACUGGUACCUUAGCUUCAAUAUGCGUGCCAUCCAAUAGACCAAUACAAUCCUAAUAAUAUUAAGACCAUUAAAUAAUAUACCUCAAUUAUCAAUUACACAAUUAGUAUUAAAAAUUCAACAUUUUUAUGAUUACCUUGAAAUAAGGAAAAUAUAGUGGGCUCGAUGCUAUCUCAGGAUGGAUUUCGGGGCCUGCUUGUUGGACAAAUUGAUUCUUAAUGGCACAUAUAGCUCUUAGGACAGUACUAAAAUAACGACUAAUGGUCUCUCCUGAUCGAAUAAAUUCUAUCUUUACGAUUCUGUUUUUAGUAUGAUGUCCCACUGUAUGCAAAAACAUCGCAAGUUGUUCCUCAACUGUGACAUAAAGAGUAUCCUUUAAUAAGUUACGAUCUCUCAUUAUAUCAGCAAGGCUAAAGAAGGUCCAAGUAUCCAUACGUACAUAAUCCACACAAUUCAUUGUGCCACCAUAUAAAAUUCUAUGAAUGUGUGCCUUUCUAUGCAAAUCUCUAAUCCUAGAUGGCUCUCGGGGUAAUGACUUUUUUUUCAUAUAUUUUCUCAUGAAAAGUAUAACACAUAAUACAACCAUAGAGAAUGCUGCAAGUUCAGCGCGUUUUCGCCGUUUAUAUUGAUUCGCGGUAUUCAUCUGAAAGAAAUAUCAAGCUAUUACAUUAGUACAUGAAAAUUUAUCCAAAAAUUUGAAGUAAUACAAAUGAAGUAACUCAUAAAUUGUCUUUACUACAAAUUCCCAUGAUGAUUCAAUUUCGAUAAUCAUAUUUUUCAUAGAAAUGAUGCAUCGGCCUAUAAGAAAAGCAUGAUUUUCAAAAAGAAUAUUAAGCUUCUGGCAUUAGAUCAAUAUUAUUAUCUUAGUAGGUCUAGUAUAGCAAAGUUAAUCAAGUACAUAAUGUUGGCAACUUAAGUAAAAGAUCAAUAUAUAUACUAGCCAUGAACUCUUUGAUAAUUAAGUAAAUGAUCAAAAAGGUUCUCAGAAUGAGCUUAGUGCCUAUUGUAUAGUUUAUUAUUGUCAAGCAUAUGUACAAACUAAUAAAUUUUUUAUGUUAAUUUCCUACUUUGUAAUUUAAUUAAAAAUUACAAUCUUUUUUCUACCCAACUUGCUUCAAAAAAUUUAUUUCUCUUCUUAGUUUAUCAUUAAUAAUUGGACACAUAAAAAAUGUGAGCAGAGCAAAUAUGCAUUAAAAAAAUAUUAAAAAUACAUAUAAAAAAUUUUAUUACAGCACAAGUGAUAAAGAAUGAAAUAAUUUAUUAUAACUCUAAAAAAAAUCUUGGGCAUAAUACUGAAAUUAAACCCACCAUCCCAUUUGACGUAUGGUCGUGCGGCGGUUUGCCUCUCCUUAAACAACCACUACCAGGCCACCACUACUUUCCAUUGGUAGUGGGAUUAAGCAAAAUGAGGAAAAUAGAGUUGCAAAUAGCAUAUUGCAACAAAGGAGAAAGCAACGAUGUAGAAGAAGAAGAUACAGAGGAAAAAGAGGAGAGGGAUGAGAGGGAAAGAGAGUAGAUGGAGAUAACUCACAUUAUCGAAAUAAUGGGGAAGAUUGAGAGCGUCUGCGUUGUGAGGAGAAGGGGAUUUUCUGAGUCUGUGUUGUGAGAAGGGGAUUUUCUGAAUGUUUGUUUUGGAGGUAACCCUAACUUGUUAGGGAGGAAGUAGAGUUCAGUUUUGAUAUUUAAUGGAUUUUUUUUAGAGAGAGUGGGUGCAGUGUAAGUUGAGUUCGGAGGUUUAAAAGGGGAAGUCAAAAGUAGGUGAACUGAGGAUUCUUUGUAACUUGAGUUACAUAAAUUUUUUUACUUACAUCAAAACAAACAGCAAAACUCAUCGAACUCGAGUUCCAACCCUCCACUUACUCCAAACCAAACAGCCCCUAAGCUCUUAAGUCCUUGUUUGCUAUCCUGUUGGUUUUUUAUUUUUUUAAAAAUGAAGUUUUGUAUCUAAAAAAGUAAGAGGGGAUAGUAAAUUACUUGCAAUCUUUCCUCCAAGAUGUUUAUCUAGUGGAAAAAAACUUAAAAAUAAUUUUUUUUGCGUUCAAAUAUUUUUAAAUAAGUUAUUAUCUAUUACUUAGUCAAAUAUAUUGCACGCUAACUAGCUAUUAUAAGAAAAGAAGUCUUUCCUCCAACCAAAAAAUAAUAUAAAAUUAGUGUUUAAAAAAAAAUGAUAAUGAUACCAAACAAGAUCUAAGCUUUCAAUUUUUAUAGUAGACCUUCGAAAACUUGAGUAGAACUUGUGUGCUAUUAGGACUACAGAGGCUUCCAUACUCCUAAGUCGUUUUCGAUGAGAGGACUUUCGAAUCGACGAUCGGCUCCGUUAGAUUUAAUCUAGCGUAUUUGUGAGGAUUGAGAUUUUUUCCUAUAUAUGUUUGUCAUUUUUUUAAAUAUUAUUGUGUGUAUUUUAAUUUUAGACUUGUCUAUCCAAUUUCAGCAAAAAAUAAUUUAAAAUAAAAUUUUUACGCGGUUAUUACUUUUAACUUAAAUUGAAUAGUAAUCUGCAUUUUCAGUUGUGACCGAAGAGAGAGAUGGGCAUCGGACGCGAAUCGGACUCCAUUUCGGGCAAUCCAAUAGCUCAUUUUGAUGGUCCGAUUGUCACGCCCCGGAUUGCUCGUUCCACAGGCGCGCCGACAAAUCCGCCGUAUACAAAGAAAUUUUUCCUGCAUACGAAGCGAUAGUUGUACCUGUAAAUCAUACAAUACUACAAACAGUAGUAUAGAGCUGCUAGAAGAACCAGUAAUAAAAACAAACUGAGUUCCAUAUACAUACGCCAAAUCCAAGAUACAACACUACUCGCACUGGCGAGUUAAAUAUAGGUAUGUACAUGAACUCCAACAAAACAACUACCUGCUGUAGGGUUACCUCUAGCUCGGCUCAUCGGGUAGGGCUCUAACUCGCGACGCCCUUGCCUCGAUCCUGAUCAGCAACAGUAGCAGGCGAAGACGAUGGCUCUGCAAAAACGAGGUAACAACUGUUACGGAGUUUAUGUUGGCAUAUUUCAUGAUAUUAGUCGGAGUCUUAAAUGUUUGAAGAAGAAGAAAUGAAGAUCGAAGACUCGGAGACUCAAAACAUAAAUGCACAAUGCUCGGUAAGUUUAAAUACCAUUGAUGAUGAUUUAUAAAUGUUUAAAUAUGUUUAGAGGACUGAGAUUGUGUUUUUGUUGAUCAAACUGGACUUUUCUAAAAAUCUCAGGGGUCAGGGACCGGUCCUUGAUCAGAGGGACCGGACCCAUCAAGCUUCUCUGCGUAGAAGUUUUGGGAGACCGGUCUCUGGUCUUGAAGACCGGUUCCCGUAAGUGGUUUAUCUUGUUGCGCAGGGAGGGACCGGUCUCUGAAUUGAGGACUGGUCCCCGUACGCAUGUUUCUCAGCUACGCAGCGAAGGACCGGUCUCCAACUUGGAGGACCGGUCUCCCAAAAACCGGUCUCCUCGAGAAGAUCGGUCCCUGAGGACGACGUCUGUUUUUAAAAUUGGGUUUUUGCAAUCCUAGUCUGUUUCUAAGUUUUCUAAACCUAUAAAUAAGAUGUAGGGGUGUUUCUAAAAGAGAACGAAGGAUAGAAUAUCUUUUUCAAACCCUAGAAACUUGUUGGGUGCAUUCUUUCUUCUCUCGAACAACAAGUUUCUAUUGGAUCAAUUCAUGUAACUCAAAAUUUCUCGUUCUUCAUGGAGAAUUGAUCCGGCUAUUGCUUAGAAACAUCUUCUACGGUUCUUUAGUGAUUGCCUAAGUAAUAAAUCAUCAUCAAUCUUGAUAUUCUUGCUCCAGAAGGAGUGGGCGUCGUGGAUUCGAGUGGGCGUCGUGGAUUCGGCGUGAUCAAGGCUUCGUGGAUUCGAAGUGUGGACGUUUCGUGGAUUCGGAACGUGGCGUUCGUGGAUUCGGACGUGGGGCGUGGACAACCCGUUGGUGUGCGCGAGAUUCGGAGAAGAUAAAAGAGAGGUUUGAGUCCGUGGAAUCGGUAAAUCACCUUGUAAUCUUUUAUUCUUAGUGGAUUGUUAUCGCGUGUUGGUCCCGUGGUUUUUUACUCCUAGUUGGAGUUUUCCACGUAAAUCUCGGUGUGAUUUUUAUUUUUCGCAUUUAUUUUUAUCGCAUUGAGAUUUGUGGUUUUUGGCUAUUACACCUAUUCACCCCCCUCUAGGUGUUAGAUACAAUCUAGAUAGAUCCUCGGGCUACCCCAAAACUUACAACAACAGGGCGUGAAAACUACUGUAAAACAAGUAGUCCUCAGUGGGUGUCGCCCUCAACAACAUCGGUCCACCCACUAAGUCUACAGAAGGGAGCAAAGGUAGUAAUAAAUGCUGGAAUGAAAUCUACAGCUACUAUUUAUUACACUAUUAUGCUUUAAGCUGACCUACUGUAGUAAUGUCAAUCCUGACCGAAUCUCUUUAGGGACUGUAAACAUACCCGUCCCAGGAACUGUGAACACACCCGUCCCGCCCAGUUGAGACUAUCCAGCUACCUCCACACUAUCCAGUCUGUGGAGAGCAAGUCUAACCAGCAUGAACGACACCAACGCGAAAGCACAACGCCCGUCUCCGGAGUGGCACUCGUGGAAGCUACCCAACCGAGUAUGCAGCGUAUCUCUGUCGAGCUCAAUCAAGCUCCAACUAGCCAAAGUCAUGUAAACAGGGUCAAAACAGGUCUACAAACCAAACCCACGUGCCCUCGGCACAAUCUGGAACCAAAACAAGAAUCUGGGUCCACCGCCAACCCGGACGGCACCCAACGAUCCGAAACAGCGUAGACUCUGCUGAAAAAUAAGCUCGGCACCCCAGCACGAGCGUAAAUGCCUUCUAAACUACCCCAGGUAUCCAUCGCACUGAUACUGCAACGAUACAGCCGAACCACGGCUCCUAGAGCUAAAUCUGGUAGUUCAAGCAUAUGACGGGUUAAAAUGCAGGUUUUCUCCUAAGUCAAUUUUCCAAGUCCAACAUGUAUAAAUCUCACUUAUUUAGUAUGCUUAAAUUCAGGUCACAACCACAGCUCAUCACUAAAUUUAAUCUAAUCACAUUGUAGAUCAAACAACAAACGUACAUGUUGACUAUACAUCUACUCAUUCACUUAGGAGUGAUCCGAUGAAAACCCACCUCUAGUGCAAUUCCCUGGCAGCAAGACGGUCACGAAUUGCUAGAAGUCUCAUCCGAGAACACCCACAACCAGCAACAAAGCUACUCGAAAGAUCUACACCCAAAAUCCGACAAAAACCAUCAAUUCACCAAAAAUUUCAGCACUUAAGCUUAAUUAUCUCAACUCCAAUGUCAAAACUCACCUAACGAUCUCCAAAUCAGGUGAGGGCAGUCCAAAAUCUAGCAAAUAUUGAUGGGUGAUGCGACUCAGGUCCGAAAUCCCAUUGCCUACAAAGAUAGCAUCAAGAAAAGCUCAAAAAUCUCAUUUUCAGCUCAAAGUCUACAGCAGUCCAGAAAAAUCUCAGUUCGAUCGAUCUAACCUCAACCAAAAUCUACAAUUCAGGGCUUCGUGGAUUCCUCAGGAAGUCUAGAAUGCAUCAAAGCAAGUUUCGCCAUGAUCCGACCUUCCUACGUCGCGCACGAGCCAAAACACUGAAGGUCGUCGCUGAAGAACUGCAGAAUCAGCACCUAACAAGCUUGGAGUUGCGGAUUUUGAAGCAAUUUAUGGCAAUUCGAGGGUAGAAGAUGAAAUCCAAUGGUUCACUGCGAAGAAGGAGUGAAAAGAGCUCACCAGGGUUACCCUCCAUCUAUUUAUAGGCUGCUGGAAAGAUAAAAUUAACCCCAAGAGAAGCAGCUGCAAUCUGGUGUCCCUGCAGAGACGGGCGUUUUUGGGCGCCCGGAACCCAUUUCUGGGCGCCCGAAACCUCCAGGCUGCACAAAUCAUCCUCCUCGGAUUCUCCGCUCGCGGUGUGCUGCGCCCGUAAAAGGCUACGGCGGAUCUCACCUACCACCCUGCUACGCUUCGAAGUAAACGAUAUUCACAAUGUAGAAUUUUCGGACCCACUUCUGGGCGCCCGGAACAUAGGAUCCGAAUUGGCUCCAGUUUCAGUUAAAUUUAACACUCAGUUCUGGGCGACCUAAACCAUGUUCUGGGCGCCCGAAUCUGGCAAAACUCCAGUUUUGCUUAUUUGAGUGCGCCGAGUCCAAUUCUGCAUCCAAUUCGUGCAGAAUUGACUCCGACUCAGUCCGACACUCUCCAGAAAUGUCGACCAGUCACUAAUACUGAAGCCAAUUCUAUCCAAAGCU
RNAcentral lists this long non-coding RNA (9992 nucleotides) under Ananas comosus (pineapple). RNAcentral describes it as "long non-coding RNA (ACOM_LNC044085)". The record is from RNAcentral. Lineage: Eukaryota; Viridiplantae; Streptophyta; Magnoliopsida; Poales; Bromeliaceae.